This 468-nucleotide ribosomal RNA is filed under the name uncultured bacterium. Its description in RNAcentral is "partial 16S ribosomal RNA". It matches the Rfam family "Bacterial small subunit ribosomal RNA", at positions 28 to 507 of the family's 1533-position model. The record is from RNAcentral.
GACGAACGCUGGCGGCGUGCUUAACACAUGCAAGUCGAACGGAAAGGCCCUGCUUUUGUGGGGUGCUCGAGUGGCGAACGGGUGAGUAACACGUGAGUAACCUGCCCUUGACUUUGGGAUAACUUCAGGAAACUGGGGCUAAUACCGGAUAGGAGCUCCUGCUGCAUGGUGGGGGUUGGAAAGUUUCGGCGGUUGGGGAUGGACUCGCGGCUUAUCAGCUUGUUGGUGGGGUAGUGGCUUACCAAGGCUUUGACGGGUAGCCGGCCGGAGAGGGUGACCGGCCACAUCGGGACUGAGAUACGGCCGAGACUCCUACGGGAGGAAGCAGUGGGGAAUAUUGCACAAUGGGCGGAAGCCGGAUGCAGCAACGCCGCGUGCGGGAUGACGGCCUUCGGGUUGUAAAACGCUUUCGCCUGUGACGAAGCGUGAGUGACGGUAAUGGGUAAAGAAGCAACGGCUAACUACGUG